This is a long non-coding RNA of Crocodylus porosus (Australian saltwater crocodile), 987 nucleotides long. Lineage: Eukaryota; Metazoa; Chordata; Crocodylia; Crocodylidae. The record is from Ensembl.
AGAAAGGAAAAGGACUGCAGAUUCCAUACAACGGAAAGGCCUGUUGAUACUUUUGCUCCCUUUGCACUACCCAUCAAGAAGCAUCUGUGGAGCAUAUGGAGAACUUUGGUCCUAAUCCAGGAAACACUAAGUUAUGUUCACAGACAGGAUGUAACUUUAUUUAAAAUGGAAGCUUCUGAAGAAAGAUACAGAUAGCGGUUGGAGCCAAAGUAGUGGAUGAAUAUUUCUCCUUUGAAGUGUCAGCUUUUAAAAACACUAUGCUGAUUCGGAAAGUCCCUGGAGUGAAUUGCAAAGUUUAUUUUCUCUGCACAAUCAAUAGUUUUUUAUUCGUUCCUCUGAGUCAAUGAAGUUGAAAGAAGGUAUGUGAUGGGAAAAGCAGCAUGCCAGUGUGUUUGUAGCCCCAGCAUUUUGGAUUAGUUUGCCGUCCUGCAGAACCGUUUCCAUUUUGAAGGGCAAGGAGUGAAUGUGAUGGAUUUAUCUUCAGAAAUGAGUAGACAUGGAAGGAAUCCAGUAAGUCACAAGCUUGAAGAUCAGAAAAAGGAUUUUGACCUGAAAGAAUCCAUCCAUGGAAAGGAAGGGAAAAGGCUGUCACGUGCACAGAUAAGACAAGAAGGUUUUCAGAUGUGUAAGUGGAGGCCCUUCCAAGAGAGUUGCUCUCAGCCAAUCUUCCCCCUCCCCCCUGUGUCUCUCCAGACCCAUAUUGUGGUAAGCUGGGGACUUGGAGGGUGGAGAGAGUUUCAGAUGAGGCAAUUCAUAAUCCCCUCAUUUGCUACAGUUUAGUCUCAGGCAUAAACCUUGGUAUAAUGCCAAGCUGCAUCCCUGCCAUUGUGAAAAGAACUGUUAUAUCUAUGCUAAGGAAACAAGCUUCACGUUUUGCUCAGUCCCUGGCCCUGUAAGAACACUGAAUGUGUUCUGAGAGGCUUCAUUAGUGAAUCUCCUACUUCAUCUGAGUGCCUAGUUUACAGUAUCUCUUUCAGAAGGUUUAUC